Molecule: ribosomal RNA, 401 nt
Filed under: uncultured bacterium
Lineage: Bacteria
Description: bacterial SSU rRNA
Rfam family: Bacterial small subunit ribosomal RNA
Source: RNAcentral
UGGGGAAUCUUGCACAAUGGAGGAAACUCUGAUGCAGCGACGCCGCGUGAGUGAUGAAGCCCUUCGGGGUGUAAAGCUCUUUCGACCCGGAAGAUAAUGACGGUACGGGGAGAAGAAGCUGCGGCUAACUACGUGCCAGCAGCCGCGGUAAUACGUAGGCAGCGAGCGUUGUUCGGAGUUACUGGGCGUAAAGCGUGCGUAGGCGGUGUCUUAAGUUUGUUGUGAAAUCUCCCGGCUUAACCGGGAGGGUGCGGCGAAUACUGAGAUGCUGGAGUGCCGGAGAGGUAAGCGGAAUUCCUGGUGUAGCGGUGAAAUGCGUAGAUAUCAGGAGGAACACCUGCGGUGUAGACGGCUUACUGGACGGUAACUGACGCUGAGGCACGAAAGCGUGGGUAGCAAAC